RNA transcript from Quercus lobata, 2780 nucleotides. It is a transcript of the gene named F-box/kelch-repeat protein At3g23880-like, with no coding region annotated. The transcript has 2 exons. The record is from RefSeq and is a predicted model, not a curated record. NCBI's taxonomy places the organism in Eukaryota, Viridiplantae, Streptophyta, Magnoliopsida, Fagales, Fagaceae.
UCCUUGUUUUUCUUCACUCUUUUUCUCCUCCCUAUGACACAGACACACAUUGCCGAUUUGCUCUUCAUUUUACACUUUAAACCUCAAGCCUUGGACCCUUCGUGAUUGCUCGAACUGCAACAACAAUGGGUGAGCGUGUUCCAAACGAUGUCGUGGAAGACAUCCUGGGUCAGCUACCAGUGAAAUCCUUAACCCGAUUCAGGUGCGUUUCGAAAUCUUGUGACUCCAUUAUCACUGACCCCACUUUCAUUGCCAAACACUUCAAUCUCAACCUUAACCAAUCUGAAUCAUUGAUAUCCACAAACGCUCACAGUGGGUAUUUGCUAUAUACUACAAAGGAUGAGAAUAGUUCACCAUCUUCCAAACAUCUGUGUACGGUUGUUUGCAACAAUGACCGCACUUUGACCCAGAUUUCAAGGUUCGAAAUCCCCUCACUUUUUGAGAAAUAUAGUAUAGUUGGUUUCUGUAAUGGCUUGUUCUGUCUAGCUAGUCGUGAUUAUGAUCUUAAUCACAUUAUAUAUUUGUGGAACCCAAGUAUUAGAAUGUUUAAGAAGCUUCUAGCUACUCCCCUUACUGACGAGGUUCAUAAGAGAUUUAAGUUGUCUGUUGUUGGACUUUCUUAUAAUUCUCAGAACAAUGACUUCAAGAUUCUGAGACUUCUGUCUGUGGGACCAGAGGCCGAGGCCGAGAUUUACAGUUUGAGUACAGAUUCCUGGAGAAAGGUUGUAAUAUCGUUGGAAUCCUUUAGAGCGUAUGAACCCAACUUUGGAGGAAUUUUUGACAUUGAUCUACCCUGUAUAUUUUUUAAUGGAGCUUUGCACACUGUAGCAUGGACUUGCCGCCGCCCUAUCAUUCUGUCCUUUGAUGUCAAUGAUGAGAGCUUCCGUGAGAUAAUGUUGACUCCUAAUCAUUUGAGAGCUUCCGUGGUUACGCAUUUCACUCAGCAUGCAUUGUUUAAGGGAUCCCUAGCUCUUUUCACUUUUGCUCAGAGUCAUGCGGGUGUCUUAUGCCACAUAUGGGUUAUGGAGGAGUAUGGUGUGGCUGAGUCUUGGACUAGAAAAUAUUCGGUACCAAUGAUUUGGGUUAGUGUUGGUAAUUUCUAUGGCUGCACUGAUAAUGGUGAACUUUUGAUUAAGAAUGCUACUGGGCUGGUUUCAAUUGACCCUGAGAGUCGAAAGCAGAACAUUCUUGCAAUUGAAGAUGCUGAUUGGGUGGGUUUCAUGGCUAAUUCAAUGGAGAGCUUGAUUUUACUCAAUGGUGGUAAGUAAAUGUGAAAAUUCACUUUAGCUAUUAUAUCACUUUCAGUUUUGCCACCAUCAUUGUGAAAAUUAACUUUAGCUAGUAUUGCUUAAUUUGUAUAUAACUUUAGCUAGUACUUUUGAUGCUGAAACUAAGGUUGUAAUUGUUUCCAUCCUUGUGUUUAAGUAAUUUCUCAAUAUGAAUGGGUGAAGUUACCUAAAUUACAUUUGAGGAAUGAUCAAAUGGGGAUUUCAGAUGGCUAAGCCAUUCUGUUCUAUUGUGCUUUUGCCAUUGAGCAUACCAAAACCCUUUAGUCUAAUUGGCCCGGUUAGCAAUAUUUAGUUCCAUGGCUAUUGUUCUCAAGUCCAACAACUAGCAGCAGCUGAAAUUUUGCUUCCUUUCAGAAGUUUAAAACAAUGGAAUCCUAAUUGACCAUAAUAUAACAGUGCCAAAAUCCAAAAUUGCGUUAAUAUUACUAGUAGGUGUUGAUGUAACAAUGAAGUAGGACAGAUUUGAAGUACCUCCAAUAUGCAUGUGUUGGACUUUAAUAGGAAAAGUGGCCUUUCAUUUGAAGUAUCUCUCAUGGCUGGAGAUGUAUCCAAUACAGUCUCCAAAGAGUAUCUGGAUAUUGAAAUAUGUUUUAAAUUUUGGAUAUAGUCUGAUAUGUUGUGGAUGUGGUCAAGACGGCCUUGACACAAUCUUGAUGCGGGAGUUGCUUAAAUUGGGAAGAAAAACUAGUUGGUUUCACUUUGAAUGAGUCAAAACCCUUCUCUUGUUUUGCAGUUGACUCUCUCUCUCUCUCUCUCUCUCUCUCUCUCUCUCUCUCUCUUAGACACACACAUACACUUUGAUCUUAUACCUACUCAUCAAUUGACCGUGAUUUCCUGGUCAUGGGGGUUGAUGGAUAUUGUCGCAUCUGUGUUUGCACUUUGAAGGAGUUUGUGAUGCACGUGUGAGAUAAUUGAGUUUCUGUUUUUACUUUUUAACUGUCUGAUUCUUAUGGGUUUGAGAACUAGGGGACAAUUGAAGAUGAAGCAGCAGAUUUUAGGCUUAGUGCAUUUGUGCAUUUUGAAAAUGUUUUUGAAGGAUUUGAUGCUUGUAAAUGGCACUUCCUCAUCUCACUAUUGAUGUUGGGUAUAUUAUAUAUAUUCUUGUUUUUAGGAGUUGCCAUUUAUCCGUAUGCUUAUUGUAUCUUGUGUUGGUAUUGAUACUUUCUUAGAUUAAUUUGAAUCAUGGUGCUGAUUGUCAUCAAGUUUUGUAUGGGAGAAUACUGCCUUUAGAUUCUACUCCUGCACCCUAAAUUACCUAUUAACAAUAGAAAAAAAGGGAAGGAAUUGACUGAAGUUAGAGAAUUGAAUAUGGUGAUUCAAGGCUCUUAUCCUUGAUAAAGGAGUUGCAUUGAUGCAGAAUGUUGCUGUUGUGUUAUGCUAAGAAGCUUAAUACUUAAGAUUUAUAUUAAUUAAAAAUAGGUAAUGGAGAUCUCAGGGUUUAUUUUUGAUGAUUGAAGUUAGUUUUAGGCCCAAGGGGGAAUGGAAAGAAUG